This 214-nucleotide small RNA is filed under the name Oryza sativa Japonica Group (Japanese rice). Its description in RNAcentral is "sRNA Os03g0836900". The record is from RNAcentral. Lineage: Eukaryota; Viridiplantae; Streptophyta; Magnoliopsida; Poales; Poaceae.
GCCGUCGCCAUCGAGUACCUCAACAAGAACGCCUCUGGCCGUUCAGCCUGAUGCGUCGCGUCAAGGAGCUUAAAUCGCCUAUGCAUGGCUUGGUAAUGGGGUUAUCUAAGACUAAUACUUUCUCUGUUUCACGAUAUAAAUCAUUAUAGCAUUUCCUACAUUCAUUUAGAUAUUAAUGAAUCUAAACAUAUAUAACAUCUAUAUAUAUAUAUAU